AGUGGGGAAUAUUGCACAAUGGGCGCAAGCCUGAUGCAGCCAUGCCGCGUGUGUGAAGAAGGCCUUAGGGUUGUAAAGCACUUUCAGUCGUGAGGAAAGGUGUGUGCUUAAUACGUACAUACUGUGACGUUAGCGACAGAAGAAGGACCGGCUAACUCCGUGCCAGCAGCCGCGGUAAUACGGAGGGUCCGAGCGUUAAUCGGAAUUACUGGGCGUAAAGCGCGCGUAGGUGGAUUGGUCAGUCAGAUGUGAAAGCCCAGGGCUCAACCUUGGAACUGCAUCUGAUACUGCUAGUCUAGAAUACAGUAGAGGGUAGUGGAAUUUCCUGUGUAGCGGUGAAAUGCGUAGAUAUAGGAAGGAACACCAGUGGCGAAGGCGACUACCUGGACUGAUAUUGACACUGAGGUGCGAAAGCGUGGGGAGCAAACAGGAUUAGAUACCCUGGUAGUCCACGCCGUAAACGAUGUCUACUAGCCGUUGGAAGACUUGAUCUUUUAGUGGCGAAGCUAACGCGAUAAGUAGACCGCCUGGGGAGUACGGCCGCAAGGUUAAAACUCAAAUGAAUUGACGGGGGCCCGCACAAGCGGUGGAGCAUGUGGUUUAAUUCGACGCAACGCGAAGAACCUUACCAACUCUUGACAUCCAGAGAAGAGGCUAGAGAUAGCUUUGUGCCUUCGGGAGCUCUGAGACAGGUGCUGCAUGGCUGUCGUCAGCUCGUGUUGUGAAAUGUUGGGUUAAGUCCCGUAACGAGCGCAACCCUUGUCCUUAUUUGCCAGCACGUAAUGGUGGGAACUCUAAGGAGACUGCCG
This 809-nucleotide ribosomal RNA is filed under the name uncultured bacterium. Its description in RNAcentral is "bacterial SSU rRNA". It matches the Rfam family "Bacterial small subunit ribosomal RNA", at positions 353 to 1154 of the family's 1533-position model. The record is from RNAcentral.